AUUGAACGCUGGCGGCAUGCCUUACACAUGCAAGUCGAGCGGCAGCACGGGGGCAACCCUGGUGGCGAGUGGCGAACGGGUGAGUAAAGCAUCGGAACGUGCCCAGUAGUGGGGGAUAGCUCGGCGAAAGCCGGAUUAAUACCGCAUACGACCUACGGGUGAAAGCGGGGGACCGAAAGGCCUCGCGCUAUUGGAGCGGCCGAUGUCAGAUUAGGUAGUUGGUGGGGUAAAGGCCUACCAAGCCGACGAUCUGUAGCUGGUCUGAGAGGACGACCAGCCACACUGGGACUGAGGCACGGCCCAGACUCCUACGGGAGGCAGCAGUGGGGAAUUUUGGACAAUGGGCGAAAGCCUGAUCCAGCCAUGCCGCGUGCGGGAAGAAGGCCUUCGGGUUGUAAACCGCUUUUGUCAGGGAAGAAAUAUUCCGGGCUAAUACCCCGGGAGGAUGACGGUACCUGAAGAAUAAGCACCGGCUAACUACGUGCCAGCCGCCGCGGUAA
This 500-nucleotide ribosomal RNA is filed under the name uncultured bacterium. RNAcentral describes it as "partial 16S ribosomal RNA". It matches the Rfam family "Bacterial small subunit ribosomal RNA", at positions 29 to 523 of the family's 1533-position model. The record is from RNAcentral.